UACAGAGGUCUCAAGCGUUGUUCGGAUUCAUUGGGCGUAAAGGGUGCGUAGGUGGCGCUGUAAGUCGGGUGUGAAAUUUCGGAGCUUAACUCCGAAACUGCAUUCGAUACUGCGGUGCUUGAGGACUGGAGAGGAGACUGGAAUUCAUGGUGUAGCAGUGAAAUGCGUAGAUAUCAUGAGGAAUACCAGAGGCGAAGGCGGCUACCUGGACAAUUGCUGACGCUCAGGCACGAAAGCGUGGGGAGCAAAAGGG
Molecule: ribosomal RNA, 253 nt
Filed under: uncultured bacterium
Lineage: Bacteria
Description: partial 16S ribosomal RNA
Rfam family: Bacterial small subunit ribosomal RNA
Source: RNAcentral